Bos taurus (domestic cattle) is the source of this 4397-nucleotide long non-coding RNA. NCBI's taxonomy places the organism in Eukaryota, Metazoa, Chordata, Mammalia, Artiodactyla, Bovidae. The record is from Ensembl.
UGGAGCUUCAGCAACAGUCCUUCCAAUGAAUAUUCAGGGUUGAUUCUUUUAGGAUUGACUGGUUUGAUCUCCUUGCAGUCCAAGGGACUCUCGAGAGUCUUCUCUAGUGCCACAGUUCAAAAGCAUCAAUUCUUUGUUCUGAGCCUUCUUUAUGGUCCAGCUCUCACAUCUGUACAUGACUACUGGAAAAACCGUAGUUUUGACUAUACAGACCUUUGCUGGCAAAGUGAUGUCUCUGCUUUUUAAUACGCUAUCUAGGAUUGUCAUAGUUUUUCUUCCAAGAGCAAGUGUCUUUUAAUUUCAUGGCUGCAGUCACAGUCCAUAGUGAUUUUAGAGCCAAGGAAAUAAAACCAGUCACUGUUUCCACUGUUUCCCCAUCUAUUUGCAAUGAAGUGAUAGGACCAGAUGCCAUGAUCUUAGUAUUUUGAAUGUUGAAUUUUAAGCCAGGCUUUUCACUCUCCUCUUUCACCCUCAUCAAGAGGCUCUUUAGUUCCUCUUUGCUUUUUGCCAUAAGGGUGGUAUCAUGUGCAUGUUUGAGGUAAUUGAUAUUUCUCCUGGCAAUGUUGGUUCCAGCUUGUGCUUCAUCCAGUCAGGCAUUUCACAUGAUGCACUCAUUUCACAUGAUGUACUCUGCAGGGUGACAACAUAUAGCCUGAUGUACUCCUUUCUCAAUUUUGAACCAGUCAGUUGUUCCAUGGCUUGUUCUAACCUCCUUCAUGACCUGCAUACAAGCUUCUCAGGAAGCAGGUAAGGUGGUCUGGUAUUCCCAGCUCUUUAAGAAUUUUCCACACAGUUGUGAUCCACAGAGUCAAAGGCUUUCAGUUCAGUUCAGUUCAGUUCAGUCGCUCAGUCAUGUCCAACUCUUUGCGACCUCAUGAACUGCAGCACGCCAGGCCUCCCUGUCCAUCACCAACUCCCAGAGUCCACCCAAACUCAUGUGCAUCAAGUCAAUGGUGCCAUCCAACCAUCUCAUCCUCUGUCGUCCCCUUCUCCUCCUGCCCUCAAUCUUUCCCAGCAUCAGGGUCUUUUCAAAUGAGUCAGCUCAGUCAGCUCGUCGCAUGAGGUGGCCAAACUAUUGGAGUUUUAGCUUCAACAUCAGUCCUUCCAAUGAACACCCAGGACUGAUCUGCUUUAGGAUGGACUAGUUGGAUCUCCUUGCAAAGGCUUUAGCAUUGUCAAUGAAGCAGAAAUAGACGUUUUUUUGGAAUUCCCUGGCUUUCUCCAUGAUGCAACAACUGUUGGUAAUUUGACCUCUGGUUCCUCUGCCACUUUGGAACCUGAAAUUUUUAGAGUUUUACACUUGUGUUUAAAACAGACACUGAAAAAGUCAGAAAUAUUGCAGACUCAUUAGAUUAGCUGAACUCUCUUGGUAGCCAUUGAUGAGAUUAAUCCAAAUCAAGUUCUCUGGACUAUGUUUAAAAACAACUUUAAUCACAUACACUAUUGACACUAUGUAUAAAGUAGAUGUCUACUGAGAACAUACCUCACAAAGCUGUACAACACCCAGUAUUAUUUCCGGGGCACGCUGUGUAGAGGUUUCAAGCCAAAAGCAGUUUCUUCUGUUUAUUGCUUUAAGUAUCUUUCUAAAAGUUAGGAGACGAAAGUAGAGAGAGGGAAAGUUUCUAUUUAGAUUGUCUCCACUUAGAAAGUCUCCAAUGGACCAAACUAAGAAAAAGAUGACCCUUGAACAACACGAAUUUGAACUGUGCAGGUCCAGUUAAACUUGGAUUUUUUUUCCAGUGGUAAACAUUUCAGUACUACACCAUCUGUGGCUGAUUGAAUCUGCUGACACAGAGGAGCCAUAGCUGAGGAAUCGAGUAUAUGGAGGGCCCACUUGUCACUAGUGGUAAAGAACCCACCUGCCGAUACUGGAGACAUGAGACGUGGGUUUGAUCCCUGGGUCAGGAAGAUCCCCUGGAGAAGAGCAUGGCAACCCACUCUAGUAUUCUUGCCUGGAGAAUCCCAUGGACAGAGGAGCCUGGCAGGCUACAGUCCAUAGCGUCACAAAGAGCUGGACAUGACGGAAGAGAUCUAGCAUGUGCGCAAUAUAAAUUAUGGCUGAAAUUUUAGACUGGGUCAAGGGUCAAAACCACUAACCCCAGCCUUGCUCCAGGGUUAACUGUACAUGUUGUCUGCUCCUCUUGUUUUCGUUUUUGUUUUUUUCCUUUUUUCCUGGCACCCUUAGAAAGAGGAAUGUGAGAGAGAUGACAGGGCUUUUAAUUCUUGUCCAAAGAAUUCCAGGGUAUUUCAGUUGUAAUAUUUGUUCUCUUUCACCAAACUUAAAGUAGCCUGGGAGUGAGUGUCUGAAAGCAUCUGAUAAAAUGACAUGCACAGAGCUGAUGCGAUCGACCUUGUGCAUAUCUUCCCCCUCCUCUAAGAGCGCACAGAAGCAGUUGCUAAUCCUGGACUUAAUGUAAGAGCCUUUAGGAUGGGGUACUGCAAAACUCUCUCCAACCAAUUCAUAAGUGCACUUGGAUUCCUGAAGACUGCCAAGGCCUAAAAAGUCCUUGAUUUGUGAGUUUGGGCAGGGACUGUUGGCUGUCACCCAAUGCUUCUUCUGUAGCAAUAAACUUUACACACCCUAGUUUCUAGCUAAGCAUUUGUGUGCUCGCAAUAAACAAUAUUAUUGUCAGCUUCUCUUGAGUCCAGUUGUGAAUAUGUGACUAAGAUUUAGACAAUGGGGUGUAAAUGGCAGUGUCAAUUGUGUUGGGAACCUACCUUAAGGAUCAGAUGAUAGGCAUCCUUUUCCUCAUUUUUGGGGGGGUGGGUUGUUUGUUUGUUUUUGUCCCUUCCUCUAUCUUGCUGCCUAGAACACAGAUGCGAAGGCUGGAGUUCAACCCAUUAUACUGGAUCACAAGGACGAAAGUCCCUAGGGACUGCAGAAAGGAGGACUACAAAGAACUUGGUCCCCUAGGACCUCAUGAGGCAGAAUUGCUGCUCUGCCUUCCAGCAGUCAUUUGUGAGAGAGAGAAAUCAACUCACAGGUGGAUUCUUUGCCACUGCACCAACUGGGAAGCCUGUAUAACACGCAUAUAUACCUAUACAUUUUUUGGAGUCAGUCCUGCAGCUAAACUCAUUAUUUCCAGUAAAUUUUAAGUUACUUUUCUUAGAUUUCUAGGUCUAUAUUCAUGUUAUCUGUAAAAAAGAGAUAGUUUAGUUUCUUCCUUUCUGAAAUUUAUACAUACUAUUUCUUCUUAAAUAGUUAUUGACAACAUUUAUGGAACAAUAAAUCUGAUUUGAGAAACCAGUAUGUGUUUCUUCUUUAAGAAUAAAAUCAACUGUUUGUUUUCAAUACACUCUAUUAUGUUUAGACUGGAAAUCCAACAUAGCUAAUGUUGCCUUACUUUCCUGUUUGGAAGAACUGAAAAUAAAAAUAGGGUGGCAGCUACCGCUACUUGGCUGAGGUUGCAGCUGGUGAUGACAAGAAAGGGAUUGUGGAUCAGUCACAGCAAGCAUACCAAGAAGCUUUUGAAAUCAGCAAAAAGGAAAUGCAACCAACACAUCCUAUCAGACUGGGUCUGGCCCUUAACUUCUCUGUGUUCUAUUAUGAGAUUCUGAACUCCCCUGAGAAAGCCUGCUCUCUUGCAAAGACAGCAUUUGAUGAAGCCAUUGCUGAACUUGAUACAUUAAGUGAAGAGUCAUACAAAGACAGCACGCUAAUAAUGCAGUUACUGAGAGAUAACUUGACAUUGUGGACAUCGGAUACCCAAGGAGACGAAGCUGAAGCAGGAGAAGGAGGGGAAAAUUAACCUGCCUUCCAACUUUUGUCUGCCUCAUUCUAAAAUUUACACAGUAGACCAUUUGUCAUCCAUGCUGUCCCACAAAUAGUUUUUUGUUUACGAUUUAUGACAGGUUUAUGUUACUUCUAUUUGAAUUUCUAUAUUUCCCAUGUGGUUUUUAUGUUUAAUAUUAGGGGAGUAGAGCCAGUUAACAUUUAGGGAGUUAUCUCUUUUCAUCUUGAGGUGGCCAAUAUGGGGAUGUGGAAUUUUUAUACAAGUUAUAAAUGUUUGGCAUAGUACUUUUGGUACAUUGUGGCUUCACAAGGGCCAGUGUUAAAACUGCUUCCAUGUCUAAGCAAAGAAAACUGCCUGCAUAUUGGUAUGUCCUGGUGGGGAAUAAAAGGGAUAAUUGGUUCCAAUCACAGGUGUAGUUGUGGGUACUUUUUAGGUUUGGAGCAUUUACAAAGCUGUAGUAGAAAUGGAUAUCCCAUGGAUAUUGCAUGUUAAACCAUGUGUUAUCUGUGGAAUACUCAGACUCAGUGUGCACACUGUUGACUGCAGCUAUAGAAGUGUUCCUUUAGUUGUGACCCAAUUUACUCUGGAUAAGGGCAGAAACGGUUCACAUUCCAUUAUUUGUAAAGUUACCUGCUGUUUGCUUUCAUUAUUUUUGCUACACUC